CAGCAGCCGCGGUAAUACAGAGGGUGCGAGCGUUAAUCGGAUUUACUGGGCGUAAAGCGCGCGUAGGCGGCUUCUUAAGUCGGAUGUGAAAUCCCUGAGCUUAACUUAGGAAUUGCAUUCGAUACUGGGAAGCUAGAGUAUGGGAGAGGAUGGUAGAAUUCCAGGUGUAGCGGUGAAAUGCGUAGAGAUCUGGAGGAAUACCGAUGGCGAAGGCAGCCAUCUGGCCUAAUACUGACGCUGAGGUACGAAAGCAUGGGGAGCAAACAGGAUUAGAUACCCCUGUAGUCCCUGUCUCUUAUAC
Molecule: ribosomal RNA, 301 nt
Filed under: uncultured bacterium
Lineage: Bacteria
Description: partial 16S ribosomal RNA
Rfam family: Bacterial small subunit ribosomal RNA
Source: RNAcentral